Molecule: non-coding RNA, 74 nt
Organism: Parasutterella excrementihominis CAG:233
Lineage: Bacteria; Pseudomonadati; Pseudomonadota; Betaproteobacteria; Burkholderiales; Sutterellaceae
Source: Rfam
CGGGGUGUAGCGUAGUCUGGUAGCGCGCCUGCUUUGGGAGCAGGAUGUCGGGAGUUCGAAUCUCUCCACCCCGA